Molecule: small RNA, 1655 nt
Filed under: Pan troglodytes (chimpanzee)
Lineage: Eukaryota; Metazoa; Chordata; Mammalia; Primates; Hominidae
Description: retained intron
Source: RNAcentral
CUGCUCAGUGAGCUCCGCCGACAGCCAGCCCUGCUCCUCCCGCCAUGACCCUGCAGACCCCUCUGGGCUUCCAAGUUCCUGGGGGCUGCAGUGAACAUGCUCCACCUGUAUGGCUGGCAAACCACGCAGCGUAGAAAGAUGGGGCACCCACCAGACUCUCCCAGUGCCCCGGCCCCAGCUGGCACCACAGCUAUACCUGGGCUUAUUCCAGACCUUGUCGCCGGGACCCCCUGGCCCCGCUGGGCUCUCAUUGCCGGCGCCCUUGCCGCGGGCAUCCUCCUCGUCUCCUGCCUCCUCUGUGCUGCCUGCUGCUGCUGCCGCCACCACAGGAAGAAGCCCAGGGACAAGGAGGCCGUGGGUCUGGGCAGUGCCCGUGGCACCACCACCACCCACCUGGUGCAACCUGAUGUGGAUGGCCUGGAGUCCAGCCCGGGGGGUGCUCAGCAAUGGGGGCGCCUGCAGCUCUCCCUGGAGUACGACUUUGGAAGCCAGGAGGUGAAGAGCCCUGCUGUGCAGGACCAGCGGUUCUGCGAGUUUCCGGAAAGGGUGACGGGGGAAGGGCAGACCCCGUGCCCUGGGUGGUGGGGAGCUGACAGGGCAGGGGCCCUUGGCUGAGCCCACCCCCCUGGCUCCCAGAUCAGGGUGGGCCUGAGGCAGGCAGCCGACCUGAGGCCUGGGGGCACCGUGGACCCCUAUGCCCGGGUCAGCGUCUCCACCCGGGCCGGACACAGACAUGAGACAAAAGUGCACCGAGGCACGCUCUGCCCCGUGUUUGACGAGACCUGCUGCUUCCACGUGAGUCAGGGAUGGUCGGCUGGGUGGGCCUGGACGGCUGGAUGGGCCUGGGCUGGGUGGGCCUGGGCAGCUGGGUGGGCCUGAGCUAGGGCAGCAGGGCCUGGCUCACGCCGCUGCCUCAGAUCCCGCAGGCGGAACUGCCAGGGGCCACCCUGCAGGUGCAGCUUUUCAACUUCAAGCGCUUCUCGGGGCAUGAGCCCCUGGGUGAGCUCCGCCUGCCACUGGGCACCGUGGAUCUGCAGCAUGUUCUGGAGCACUGGUACCCGCUGGGCCCGCCGGCUGCCACUGAGCCCGAGCAGGUCGGGGAGCUGUGCUUCUCUCUCCGGUACGUGCCCAGCUCAGGCCGGCUGACCGUGGUGGUGCUGGAGGCUCGAGGCCUGCGUCCAGGACUGGCAGAGCCCUACGUGAAGGUCCAGCUCAUGCUGAACCAGAGGAAGUGGAAGAAGAGAAAGACAGCCACCAAAAAGGGCACGGCGGCCCCCUACUUCAAUGAGGCCUUCACCUUCCUGGUGCCCUUCAGCCAGGUCCAGAAUGUGGACCUGGUGCUGGCCGUCUGGGACCGCAGCCUGCCGCUCCAAACUGAGCCCGUAGGCAAGGUGCACCUGGGUGCCCGGGCCUCGGGGCAGCCCCUGCAGCACUGGGCAGACAUGCUGGCCCACGCCCGGCGGCCCGUCGCCCAGUGGCACCCCCUGCGGCCAGCCAGGGAGGUGGACCGCAUGCUGGCCCUGCAGCCCCGCCUUCGCCUGCGCCUGCCCUUGCCCCACUCCUGAAUGCACCACGUGCCUCUCUUUCCCCGCUGAGCCCAGGCACUUGCCCAGGCCGCCCUGCAGGACCACUGCAAUAAACGCCUUCUCCUGCCA